Molecule: ribosomal RNA, 1548 nt
Filed under: Ligilactobacillus murinus
Lineage: Bacteria; Bacillati; Bacillota; Bacilli; Lactobacillales; Lactobacillaceae
Description: partial 23S ribosomal RNA
Rfam family: Bacterial large subunit ribosomal RNA
Source: RNAcentral
GGUUAAGUUAUUAAGGGCGCAUGGUGGAUGCCUUGGCACUAGGAGCCGAUGAAGGACGUGACUAACUGCGAUAAGCUUCGGGGAGUUGUAAGUAAACUGUGAUCCGGAGAUUUCCGAAUGGGGAAACCCAGCAGGAGUAAAGACCUGUUAUCACUGAGUGAAUACAUAGCUCAGUUGAAGGUAGACGUGGGGAACUGAAACAUCUAAGUACCCAUAGGAAGAGAAAGAAAAUUCGAUUCCCUGAGUAGCGGCGAGCGAAAAGGGAACAGCCCAAACCAGAGAGCUUGCUCUCUGGGGUUGUAGGACUGGACAUUUGAGUUACCAAGAAACGAAGUAGUUGAAUGAUUUGGGAAGAUCAGCCAGAGAAGGUGAUAGCCCUGUAAGCGAAACUUCGUUUCCUCAGCCCAGUAUCCUGAGUACGGCGGAACACGUGAAACUCCGUCGGAAUCCGGGAGGACCAUCUCCCAAGGCUAAAUACUCCCUAGUGACCGAUAGUGAACCAGUACCGUGAGGGAAAGGUGAAAAGCACCCCGGGAGGGGAGUGAAAUAGUUCCUGAAACCAUGUGCCUACAAGUAGUCAGAGCCCGUUAAUGGGUGAUGGCGUGCCUUUUGUAGAAUGAACCGGCGAGUUACGUUAGCGUGCGAGGUUAAGGCGCAAAGGCCGGAGCCGUAGCGAAAGCGAGUCUGAAUAGGGCGAAUGAGUACGUUGACGUAGACCCGAAACCAGGUGACCUACCCAUGUCCAGGUUGAAGGUGCGGUAAGACGCACUGGAGGACCGAACCCGUGUAUGUUGAAAAAUGCUGGGAUGAGGUGUGGGUAGAGGUGAAAUUCCAAACGAACUUGGAGAUAGCUGGUUCUCUCCGAAAUAGCUUUAGGGCUAGCCUCGGAGUUAAGGAUCGUGGAGGUAGAGCACUGUUUGGACUAGGGGCCCGUCUUGGGUUACUGAAUUCAGAUAAACUCCGAAUGCCACAGAUCUAUAUCCGGGAGUCAGACUGCGAGUGAUAAGAUCCGUAGUCGAAAGGGAAACAGCCCAGACCACCGAUUAAGGUCCCUAAAUAUGUGUUAAGUGGAAAAGGAUGUGGAAUUGCACAGACAACUAGGAUGUUGGCUUAGAAGCAGCCACCAUUUAAAGAGUGCGUAAUAGCUCACUAGUCGAGUGAUCCUGCGCCGAAAAUGUAACGGGGCUAAACACAUUACCGAAAUCGUGGAUGCAACUAUGUUGCAUGGUAGGAGAGCGUUCUAAGGGCGAUGAAGCUAGACCGUAAGGACUGGUGGAGCGCUUAGAAGUGAGAAUGCCGGUAUGAGUAGCGAAAGAUCAGUGAGAAUCUGGUCCACCGUAUGACUAAGGUUUCCUGGGGAAGGCUCGUCCUCCCAGGGUUAGUCGGGACCUAAGCCGAGGCCGAGAGGCGUAGGCGAUGGAUAACAGGUUGAGAUUCCUGUACUGGUUUGAUUUGUUUGAACGAUGGAGGGACGCAGGAGGCUAGAGAUGCGUGCUGUUGGAUAUGCACGUCCAAGCAACAAGUCUGAUGAUGAGUCAAAUGCUUAUC